UUCAAAAUGAUCAGGACCAACUGGAGAAAUGGUGUUAGUAAAUAGGAUGAAGUUCAAUAAGGACAAAUGCAAAGUACUCCAUUUAGAAAGGAACAAUCAGUUGCACACAUACAAAAUGGGAAAUGACUGCCUAGGAAGGAGUACUGUGGAAACGGA
Molecule: long non-coding RNA, 156 nt
Organism: Dermochelys coriacea (leatherback sea turtle)
Lineage: Eukaryota; Metazoa; Chordata; Testudines; Dermochelyidae
Exons: 3
Source: RefSeq, a predicted model, not a curated record